UUGACCUCAAAUUAGGUAGGGAUACCCGCUGAACUUAAGCAUAUCAAUAAGCGGAGGAAAAGAAACCAACAGGGAUUGCGGU
RNAcentral lists this ribosomal RNA (82 nucleotides) under Ophiocordyceps nutans. RNAcentral describes it as "partial 26S ribosomal RNA". It matches the Rfam family "Eukaryotic large subunit ribosomal RNA", at positions 1 to 81 of the family's 3401-position model. The record is from RNAcentral. Lineage: Eukaryota; Fungi; Ascomycota; Sordariomycetes; Hypocreales; Ophiocordycipitaceae.